UUGAUCAUGGCGUCAGGAUGAACGCUGGCGGCGUGCUUAACACAUGCAAGUCGAACGGAGUUUUAACGGUAAGUUUCGGAUGGAAGUUAAGAACUUAGUGGCGGACGGGUGGAGUAACGCGUGGGUAACCGUGCCUCCAUACAGGGGGAUAACAGUUAGAAAUGACUGCUAACACCGCAUAAUAUAGUGAAACCGCAUGAUUUUGCUGUCAAAUAUUUAUAGGUAUGAGAUGGGCCCGCGUCUGAUUAGCUAGUUGGUGGGGUAAAAGCCUACCAAGGCGACGAUCAGUAGCCGGCUUGAGAGAGUGACCGGCCACAUUGGGACUGAGACACGGCCCAAACUCCUACGGGAGGCAGCAGUGGGGAAUAUUGGACAAUGGGGGAAACCCUGAUCCAGCGAACCGCCGCGUGAGUGAAGAAGUAUUUCGGUAUGUAAAGCUCUAUCAGCAGGGAAGAUAAUGACAGUACCUGACUAAGAAGCCCCGGCUAACUACGUGCCAGCAGCCGC
This 507-nucleotide ribosomal RNA is filed under the name uncultured bacterium. RNAcentral's name for it is "bacterial SSU rRNA". It matches the Rfam family "Bacterial small subunit ribosomal RNA", at positions 13 to 518 of the family's 1533-position model. The record is from RNAcentral.